Molecule: ribosomal RNA, 330 nt
Filed under: uncultured bacterium
Lineage: Bacteria
Description: bacterial SSU rRNA
Rfam family: Bacterial small subunit ribosomal RNA
Source: RNAcentral
UUCGUAGGUGGUGCGGCAAGUUGGAAGUGAAAUCUCUGGGCUUAACCCAGAGGCUGCUUUCAAAACUGCCGCGCUCGAGUGCGGGAGAGGUCAGUGGAAUUGCAGGUGUAGCGGUGAAAUGCGUAGAUAUCUGUAGGAACACCCGUGGCGAAGGCGGCUGACUGGAUCGCAACUGACACUGAGGAACGAAAGCUAGGGGAGCAAACAGGAUUAGAUACCCUGGUAGUCCUAGCCCUAAACCAUCAGAACUUGGGGUGGCCCGCGUAGGCGGGUCGUCCCGUAGCUAACGCGUUAAGUUCUGCGCCUGGGGAGUACGGUCGCAAGACUGAA